AUUCUUCGGAUGAAGAUCUUGGUGACUGAGUGGCGGACGGGUGAGUAACGCGUGGGUAACCUGCCUCAUACAGGGGGAUAACAGUUAGAAAUGACUGCUAAUACCGCAUAAGACCACAGCACCGCAUGGUGCAGGGGUAAAAACUCCGGUGGUAUGAGAUGGACCCGCGUCUGAUUAGCCAGUUGGCGGGGUAACGGCCCACCAAGGCGACGAUCCAUAGCCGACCUGAGAGGGUGACCGGCCACAUUGGGACUGAGACACGGCCCAAACUCC
Molecule: ribosomal RNA, 273 nt
Filed under: uncultured Lachnospiraceae bacterium
Lineage: Bacteria; Bacillati; Bacillota; Clostridia; Lachnospirales; Lachnospiraceae
Description: partial 16S ribosomal RNA
Rfam family: Bacterial small subunit ribosomal RNA
Source: RNAcentral